Molecule: ribosomal RNA, 301 nt
Filed under: uncultured bacterium
Lineage: Bacteria
Description: partial 16S ribosomal RNA
Rfam family: Bacterial small subunit ribosomal RNA
Source: RNAcentral
CAGUCGCCGCGGUAAUACGAAGGGGGCUAGCGUUGCUCGGAAUGACUGGGCGUAAAGGGCGCGUAGGCGGUUCGUACAGUUGGAUGUGAAAUUCCUGGGCUUAACCCGGGGGCUGCAUUCAAUACGUGCGGGCUUGAGUGUGGAAGAGGGUUGUGGAAUUCCCAGUGUAGAGGUGAAAUUCGUAGAUAUUGGGAAGAACACCGGUGGCGAAGGCGGCAACCUGGUCCAUAACUGACGCUGAGGCGCGAAGGCGUGGGGAGCAAACAGGAUUAGAGACCCCGGUAGUCCCUGUCUCUUAUAC